RNAcentral lists this ribosomal RNA (275 nucleotides) under uncultured prokaryote. RNAcentral describes it as "partial 16S ribosomal RNA". It matches the Rfam family "Bacterial small subunit ribosomal RNA", at positions 524 to 798 of the family's 1533-position model. The record is from RNAcentral.
UACGGAGGAUCCGAGCGUUAUCCGGAUUUAUUGGGUUUAAAGGGUGCGCAGGCGGGAGAUUAAGUCGGCGGUGAAAUUUUGCAGCUCAACUGUAAAAGUGCCUUCGAAACUGGUUUCCUUGAGUGUGGAUGAAGUAGGCGGAAUUUGUGGUGUAGCGGUGAAAUGCAUAGAUAUCGGGAGGAACACCAGUGGCGAAGGCGGCCUGCUGGACAUUAACUGACGCUGAUGCGCGAAAGUGUGGGGAGCAAACAGGAUUAGAUACCCGGGUAGUCCCU